This 253-nucleotide ribosomal RNA is filed under the name uncultured bacterium. Its description in RNAcentral is "partial 16S ribosomal RNA". It matches the Rfam family "Bacterial small subunit ribosomal RNA", at positions 524 to 776 of the family's 1533-position model. The record is from RNAcentral.
UACGUAGGUGGCUAGCGUUGUCCGGAUUUACUGGGCGUAAAGAGCGCGCAGGCGGUCGUUCAAGUCGAGUGUGAAAGCCCCCGGCUCAACUGGGGAGGGUCACUCGAUACUGAUCGACUGGAAGGCAGGAGAGGGAAGCGGAAUUCCCGGUGUAGUGGUGAAAUGCGUAGAUAUCGGGAGGAACACCAGUGGCGAAGGCGGCUUCCUGGCCUGUUCUUGACGCUGAGGCGCGAAAGCUAGGGGAGCAAACGGG